This 253-nucleotide ribosomal RNA is filed under the name uncultured bacterium. RNAcentral describes it as "partial 16S ribosomal RNA". It matches the Rfam family "Bacterial small subunit ribosomal RNA", at positions 524 to 776 of the family's 1533-position model. The record is from RNAcentral.
UACGUAGGGGGCUAGCGUUGUCCGGAUUUAUUGGGCGUAAAGAGCGUGUAGGCGGCCAGGUAGGUCUGCUGUGAAAACUCGAGGCUCAACCUCGAGACGUCGGCGGAAACCAUCUGGCUAGAGUCCGGAAGAGGAGAGUGGAAUUCCUGGUGUAGCGGUGAAAUGCGUAGAUAUCAGGAGGAACACCGGUGGCGAAAGCGGCUCUCUGGACCACAACUGACGCUGAGGCGCGAAAGCUAGGGGAGCAAACAGG